UAUCAAUAUUUUUCAACAACCCUUCAAUAGUACUGAGUAAUUCUAUACUUCUAUAGAAUUUAUUAUGUUAAAACUAGUAACAAGAAGAAGACCUUCUCUUAAAUGUGCCCAUAAGUCAGGAAGGACACACCACUGACAAUUAACGCCCAUGAUCUUAAAGUAAAAACUUAACAAGAAAAACUUACUGGUCACAACGUUAACCUAACACAAGAACAUUCCAAGAAAGAUUAAAAGAAAAAGAAGGAACUCGGCAAAUAUUAACCCCGCCUGUUUACCAAAAACAUCGCCUCUUGAAAAACAUAAGAGGUCCAGCCUGCCCAGUGACACCUGUUCAACGGCCGCGGUAUCCUAACCGUGCGAAGGUAGCGUAAUCACUUGUCCUUUAAAUGGGGACUAGUAUGAAUGGCAUCACGAGGGUUAUACUGUCUCCUUUUUCUAAUCAGUUAAACUAAUCUCCCCGUGAAGAAGCGGGGAUACACCUAUAAGACGAGAAGACCCUAUGGAGCUUUAAACAAAACAGCACUCGCUAUCUUACACGCCAAUCCCAGGAAACUAACCCUUAUUUUAGCAUUCUGUCUGUCAGUUUUAGGUUGGGGUGACCGCGGAGUAAAAAAUAGCCUCCACACUGAAAGGGACUUUCCCUAAGCAAAAAGUCACAACUUUAUGCAUCAAUAAAUUGACACCAAUUGACCCAAUAUUUUGAUCAACGAAACAAGUUACCCUAGGGAUAACAGCGCAAUCCACUUCGAGAGCCCUUAUCGACAAGUGGGUUUACGACCUCGAUGUUGGAUCAGGGUACCCCAGUGGUGCAGCCGCUACUAAA
This 823-nucleotide ribosomal RNA is filed under the name Gastrotheca espeletia (north shore marsupial frog). RNAcentral describes it as "partial 16S ribosomal RNA". It matches the Rfam family "Bacterial large subunit ribosomal RNA", at positions 1453 to 2569 of the family's 2925-position model. Lineage: Eukaryota; Metazoa; Chordata; Amphibia; Anura; Hemiphractidae. The record is from RNAcentral.